Molecule: ribosomal RNA, 23 nt
Filed under: Ulvella sp. 6-BER-2007
Lineage: Eukaryota; Viridiplantae; Chlorophyta; Ulvophyceae; Ulvales; Ulvellaceae
Description: partial 5.8S ribosomal RNA
Source: RNAcentral
UCACACCUGCCUCAGCGUCGGGA